Molecule: ribosomal RNA, 360 nt
Filed under: uncultured bacterium
Lineage: Bacteria
Description: partial 16S ribosomal RNA
Rfam family: Bacterial small subunit ribosomal RNA
Source: RNAcentral
CCUACGGGUUGCAAACGUCUUUGAUAAAGGAAGAAAGUGAGGCACGUGGGCCGGGUGGUAGGGAAUGUAUGAAGAAGGAUCGGAUAACUCCGUGCCAGAAGCCGCGGUAAUACGGAGGAUCCGAGCGGUAUCCGGAUUUAUGGGGUUUAAAGGGAGCGUAGAUGGGUUGUUAAGGCAGUGGGGAAAGUUUGCGGCUCAACCGUAAAAUUGCAAUUGAUACUGGCAGUCUUGAGUACAGUUGAGGUAGGCGGAAUUCGUGGUGUAGCGGUGAACUGCUUAGAGAUCACGAAGAACUCCGAUGGCGACGGCAGCUUACUAAACUGCCACUGCCAUUGCUGCUCGACCGUGUGUGUCUCACAC